GAUGAACGCUGGCGGCGUGCUUAACACAUGCAAGUCGAACGGAAAGGCCCAAGCUUGCUUGGGUACUCGAGUGGCGAACGGGUGAGUAACACGUGGGUGAUCUGCCCUGCACUUCGGGAUAAGCCUGGGAAACUGGGUCUAAUACCGGAUAGGACGAUGGUUUGGAUGCCAUUGUGGAAAGUUUUUUCGGUGUGGGAUGAGCUCGCGGCCUAUCAGCUUGUUGGUGGGGUAAUGGCCUACCCAGGCGUCGACGGGUAGCCGGCCUGAGAGGGUGUACGGCCACAUUGGGACUGAGAUACGGCCCAGACUCCUACGGGAGGCAGCAGUGGGGAAUAUUGCACAAUGGGCGCAAGCCUGAUGCAGCGACGCCGCGUGGGGGAUGACGGCCUUCGGGUUGUAAACUCCUUUCGCUAGGGACGAAGCGUUUUUGUGACGGUACCUGGAGAAGAAGCACCGGCUAACUACGUG
RNAcentral lists this ribosomal RNA (468 nucleotides) under uncultured bacterium. RNAcentral's name for it is "partial 16S ribosomal RNA". It matches the Rfam family "Bacterial small subunit ribosomal RNA", at positions 28 to 507 of the family's 1533-position model. The record is from RNAcentral.